Molecule: ribosomal RNA, 451 nt
Filed under: Pseudomonas sp. HPC158
Lineage: Bacteria; Pseudomonadati; Pseudomonadota; Gammaproteobacteria; Pseudomonadales; Pseudomonadaceae
Description: bacterial SSU rRNA
Rfam family: Bacterial small subunit ribosomal RNA
Source: RNAcentral
GUUCUAACACAUGCAAGUCGAGUGGAUGAAGGGAGCUUGCUCCCGGAUUCAGCGGCGGACGGGUGAGUAAUGCCUAGGAAUCUGCCUGGUAGUGGGGGACAACGUUCCGAAAGGAACGCUAAUACCGCAUACGUCCUACGGGAGAAAGUGGGGGAUCUUCGGACCUCACGCUAUCAGAUGAGCCUAGGUCGGAUUAGCUAGUUGGUGGGGUAAUGGCUCACCUAGGCGACGAUCCGUAACUGGUCUGAGAGGAUGAUCAGUCACACUGGAACUGAGACACGGUCCAGACUCCUACGGGAGGCAGCAGUGGGGAAUAUUGGACAAUGGGCGAAACCCUGAUCCACCCAUGCCGCGUGUGUGAAGAAGUCUUCUGAUUGUAAAGCACUUUAGUUGGGAGGAGGGGCCGUAAGUUAAUACCUUGCUGUUUUGACGUUUCCACAGAAUAAGCACC